GCCCCGCCCGCAUCGCCUCGCCCUCUCCUUUCCCUCUCCCUCCCUCAGUCCUUGCCGCCCCGCCCCGCCCCGUUUGGAUGCCCCCGCUCGCCCCACCCUCUCCUCCCUCAGACCUCGCCGCCCGCCCACAUCGCCGAUGCCCCUCAGACCACGCAGUGGUGGACCUCUCUCCUCCCACGCCCGCGUUCUUCCUCCCCCAACACGCCCCCACUCGGCCCCGCAUGCCUAGGCGUCUUCCACCAACCACGGCGACGGCGCAGCGGCCACGGAGGCGGCGGGUCAGCAGCGCCGGUGAUGGCGUCCGUGGCAGCGGUGGAGGGCGCGGCCGCGGCGCUCCGUUCGGUGUUGUUGCGCGCGCAUCAGGCGGCGACGCGGCCUGGGCGCGCGUCGGAGUCGGUGCGCGUGGUGGCGGUGAACAAGACGAAGCCCGUGGGCGUCAUCCACGGCGUGUACGACGCCGGCCACCGCUGCUUCGGCUAGAACUACGUCCACAAGCUCAUCGACAAGGCCCCCCAGGUUGUACCCCCAGCUGAGAAGAAUGAAAUUUUUAUCCCCUUUCACCGCGUGAAAGAACUGCUGAUUGGAACGUGAAUGGAAAACAAGUCACUCUCUCUCUCUCUCGUGCUUCUGCUCGCCCGGGAUGCAGCUCUUCAGUGAGCUCGACAAGAUGUGCUUGAAGAAAAGGGCCAUUGGAUUGUACAGGAAGAAUGGGAUGUUGUUCUUUGCUGCUUCACCUAGCCUUGCUGCUCGACCAUGUUGCCCCUGGUGUUGUUGUUGUGGGUUGGUGCUGCUGCUGUUGCAGGGGCAGCAGUGUCUCCAAGCAAACAGGUUGUUGUGUACCUACGACAUAUUUCUGUGCUCCUGGAUGUGCUACAUCACCUCAUCCUCUCAUUGGCCGCCUCGGUGCCCGUGGCGUUCGUGCUCAUCGGCAGGACGGUGCAAGGUGCAACUCCGAUGCAGCGGCGUGGAUGUGCGGUGUAGGAAGCGGUUCCUCGCCGGCUGGACGGCGUUCAGGCGCAACCCCGGCGCCCACUAAGUACUGCCUCGGCUACGACCUCCUUCAGUGAGCUCCAUCUUCCUCCUGCUCUGCUUCAGCUACUGCAUGGGACAUGGCUAGGGCUACGAUGAUCAGUUAUGGCUGAUAUAGGCAUGCUCUCGAGCAAUCGAGGCAAUUGUUGUGGGUAUUAAUUUGGAUCCCCCCUCAUUUCUUUGAGCUAUUUUGAUCACGUUCUUAUUUUAGUGACUCUGUCCUUGGAUGGUCAUUUCUGCUGAGUGAUAACGAGGGCAGUUUCACCCUCAUAAGAACAUAUUGAUCUGGUGAUCCAUCAAGAAAUCCAUCGAGAAAUAAGGAUGCCGGUCAUCCUCCCAGCUCCUCAGCCGUUUGGGAUUCCUGGCCGUCGGAUCGGGUGGCUUGAUCGGAUUUGGGCCGUCGGAUCGACCCCUGUAACGACCUCAUCCGUCGGAUAAAAAAAGUUACUGCUGGAAUGAAUAGUUACUCCCGUUUCAUGCCACCGCUCGUAAAUAGCCUGCCCCGCCGGGGGCAUUCUCGCCAUUUCGCUUUGUCUGUGGCGGUGGCGUUCGUGCUAGGGCGAUGAUGAUUAACUGUGGCUGGAAUAAGUGUGCCUUUGAGCAAUCAAGGCACCUUUUGGUAUCAAGUUGGAUCCUCCCUGUUGUCUCUAGAAUCCUUUUUGAUCCUGUGAUACCUGUUGAUCUGUCCUUGGAUGGUCAUUCUUGUUGAGUGAUAACCAGGGCAGCUCCAUUGUGUAAACAGAUUGAUCUGGUGAUAAGAGAUGACGGGGUAGGUUAUAUGAUUGAGGAAAGGCGAAUCUGAGCCCACUAUGCAAUGAACACUAAACCCUUUUUAUUUUUAUUUAAAGGUGUUGCUUAUUUAUGCUCCAGUGUUUAUAGCCGUUUAAAGUAAAGUUUUCUUCUCUCUCGUACCUUUAUUGUUUGUUGUUGUUCUUUGAUUUAAUCUGGUUAAGAGUAAGUUGCACUUUGUUAUACUAGAAAGACUCACUCCCAGCAAGUUAUCGGUUGAAUGACUUGUUUUAAUUCGUUGUGAUACUAUUACUUCUAUUUUUUUGCAAGUUACCGGUUGCAGCUAUUUGUUCAUGCUACAGAAAUUAAUACUACAGGAUUUUUUUUGAGAUUUUUCUUGAGAUAAUGUUGGAUUGUUCAUGUAAAGAGUGACCGAGGUAGCAUGUCCCGUUUUGUAUCCAUAAACAAUUUUUGACUGAUGUGAUUAAGUUGCUUGGUUAAUCCGAGCCAUUGAGCGGACAUUUCCUUACAGAUGACCUUCUGCUUUCUUAUUUUGACAAAAUAGACAAGCUGGAUGCAGUUGCCGCCACUCAUGUUGCUACAGGGGGAGUGCGCGCAGGGGGGGGGGGGGGGUGCGGGUCAAGGUGAGCUCAUCGGCACCGCUGCUGACCGGCAGAUCCAGGCGCACCCUCUCGAUGCACGCAGGGGGGUGAUCUAUGACGACCUCCUGGGCACGACACCGCUGGAGACGGUUUUGCUUUGUGGCCUCAAGUCCAGCGUAUCCUUGGUUUUAUAUUGAAUAAAUGCCUGCAGUUUGCACUCAUUUCUGUAACAUAGAAGUUUAUCCUGCUCCUCUUCAUCUUAUGCUUUGUAGUGGACUUGAUACGUAUGUUUAGUGUCUAUGCCAAUACCUGUGGUUCUGAAGUGUAUUUGAGAUGUAUUUUCCUUCUGGAAAGGCCACACUAUUCCUUCCAAGUAUAUUCAUAGUAAAUGAGAAUGCAUGUGUUUCCUGUAUGUAA
This is a non-coding RNA of Triticum urartu, 2777 nucleotides long. Lineage: Eukaryota; Viridiplantae; Streptophyta; Magnoliopsida; Poales; Poaceae. The record is from RefSeq and is a predicted model, not a curated record.